CUUGUGAAAUCUGAAGUAAACGGCCGUUUACUACUGACUAAACGGACACAGAGUAAACGCGCGUUUACUCGAGUAGACAUUAGAAAUUUCCACUUUGACCGCGUUAACGUUAAUGAAGUAAACGGGCGUUUACUAGUAAACGCGAAAUUUAAAGUUAACUAACGAAAUAUGUGCACGCCGCGUUAACUUGCGUUUACUUUAUGUAAUGCUUGGUCUGCACCCAACUGUAUGCAGAUACCGGUCUGAGAUAUAAAUUCACUUAAAAUGUUGUAGAGAUGACUGCUAACAUCUGAUUUUUGCAUAACUUCCAAGCAUAGUUAUUGUUUUCUAUAUCAAGAACUUUAAAAUCAUAAAAUCAUAGCAUUUACAAGUUAAAUUAUUUGUUUUAUGACCCAGGGGGUAGGCAAUUUUCUAUUUUUUUUUUUUGCCCCUGGGGCCUCAAAUUUCCUAAAUCAUUCUUCUGUUUCUAGCAAUUUGGAAUAUUUAGUACAUAUUCAGGAUAGAACACACUAUUGUAAGUUGUCUUGAGAUAUUUUUGUUUUUCUAGGUUGUAUUAUUUUUGCCGUGGUGACAAAAAAGCAGAUUUAGGUGUUGCGGCUUACUUUUG
This 607-nucleotide long non-coding RNA is filed under the name Mytilus galloprovincialis (Mediterranean mussel). Lineage: Eukaryota; Metazoa; Mollusca; Bivalvia; Mytilida; Mytilidae. The record is from RNAcentral.